RNAcentral lists this non-coding RNA (126 nucleotides) under Deltaproteobacteria bacterium. RNAcentral's name for it is "MoCo sequence". It matches the Rfam family "Molybdenum/Tungsten riboswitch aptamer (Moco RNA motif)". The record is from RNAcentral. Lineage: Bacteria; Pseudomonadati; Myxococcota; Myxococcia.
GGGUGUUGUAGUCUCCGAGCCUGUGAUCCCUAAAUAUUCUUGGGAAGGAUAUGAGGAAGCAGGCCAGGGCCAGGUCGGAAACGACUGGGCCUCCCGGACUCGGAAAGGAGAUGGGUACGCAACUCA